UACGGAAGGCAGCAGUGGGGAAUAUUGCACAAUGGGCGCAAGCCUGAUGCAGCCAUGCCGCGUGUAUGAAGAAGGCCUUCGGGUUGUAAAGUACUUUCAGCGGGGAGGAAGGCGAUGCGGUUAAUAACCGCGUCGAUUGACGUUACCCGCAGAAGAAGCACCGGCUAACUCCGUGCCAGCAGCCGCGGUAAUACGGAGGGUGCAAGCGUUAAUCGGAAUUACUGGGCGUAAAGCGCACGCAGGCGGUCUGUUAAGUCAGAUGUGAAAUCCCCGGGCUUAACCUGGGAACUGCAUUUUGAACUGGCAGGCUUGAGUCUUGUAGAGGGGGUAGAAUUCCAGGUGUAGCGGUGAAAUGCGUAGAGAUCUGGAGGAAUACCGGUGGCGAAGGCGGCCCCUGGGACAAAGCUGACGCUCAGGUGCGAAAGCGUGGGGAGCAAACGAGGAUUAGGAUACC
RNAcentral lists this ribosomal RNA (454 nucleotides) under uncultured bacterium. RNAcentral's name for it is "bacterial SSU rRNA". It matches the Rfam family "Bacterial small subunit ribosomal RNA", at positions 340 to 786 of the family's 1533-position model. The record is from RNAcentral.